CAUUCUUUCUCUAGCUCUUUUGAAGAUAGAAAGAGAAAAGAAUAAAAGAAAGGGAAAUGGGGAAUUGUCAAGCUGUAGAUGCUGCAACACUAGUCAUACAGUACCCAAGUGGGAAAGUGGACAAGUUGUAUUGGCCUAUGAUUGCUGCUGAGGUUAUGAAGAUGAACCCUGGUCACUAUGUGGCUCUUCUCCUCUCCACUACCUUGUAUCCGACUCAUAAAAAUGGUGAAUGCCCCACCACCACCACCAUCACCACUACCACCACCACCACCACCAACAACAACAACAACUCUCUUCGGAUAACGAGAAUUAAGCUUCUCAAGCCUACGGAUACCCUUGUUCUNNNNNNNNNAGACUUAUCACUGCACAAGAGGUUAUGAAUGGGUUGUUGGCAAAGAAACAAGCAAAGCUGAAGAAAAC
This 420-nucleotide unclassified non-coding RNA is filed under the name Hevea brasiliensis (rubber tree). The record is from RNAcentral. Lineage: Eukaryota; Viridiplantae; Streptophyta; Magnoliopsida; Malpighiales; Euphorbiaceae.